UCGUUUAACACCUGUUCAUUAUAUGCAGAAAAUGAGCUCGCAAAUGUAGCGAUGGACUUUAAAUAUGAAUGAUUAAUUUGAAAGUACAGACGUUGUCCUUAUUUUAAGCAAGUUUUCGUCACUUGUAAUUUGGUUGGCCAGCUUCAUUACGACAGGAUCUGAAGAAGGAGAAUAGACAACAGCACAGAUGAGAUGAGAGAAAGCAAAGAGGCCUCAG
Melanotaenia boesemani (Boeseman's rainbowfish) is the source of this 217-nucleotide long non-coding RNA. RefSeq lists it as uncharacterized. NCBI's taxonomy places the organism in Eukaryota, Metazoa, Chordata, Actinopteri, Atheriniformes, Melanotaeniidae. The transcript has 3 exons. The record is from RefSeq and is a predicted model, not a curated record.